This 993-nucleotide ribosomal RNA is filed under the name Pseudomonas fluorescens. RNAcentral describes it as "bacterial SSU rRNA". It matches the Rfam family "Bacterial small subunit ribosomal RNA", at positions 47 to 1024 of the family's 1533-position model. The record is from RNAcentral. Lineage: Bacteria; Pseudomonadati; Pseudomonadota; Gammaproteobacteria; Pseudomonadales; Pseudomonadaceae.
CUUUUCCACACUCAAUCUCAACGGAUAGAGAAGGUGGCUGCCCCUUUUGAGAGCCGCGGGCGGGUGAGAAAAACCUAGGAAUCUCCUCGUAGUGGGGGGAUAACGCUCGGAAAAGACACUAAUACCGCAUAUCUCCUGCGGGAGAAAAGCGGGGGACCUUUGGGCCUUUCAUAUCAGAUGAGCCUAAGUCUGGUUAUAUAGUUUGUGAGGUAAAUGCUCACCAAGGCGACGAUCCGUUACUGGUUUGAGAGGAUGAUCAGUCACACUGGAAAUGAGACACGGUCCAGACUCCUUCGGGAGGCAGCAGUGGGGAAUAUUGGACAAUGGGAGAAAGCCUGAUCCAGCCAUGCCGCGUGUGUGAAGAAGGUCUUUGGAUUGUAAAGCACUUUAAGUUGGGAGGAAGGGCAUUAACCUAAUACGUUAGUGUUUUGACGUUACCGACAGAAUAAGCACCGGCUAACUUUGUGCCAGCAGCCGCGGUAAUACAGAGGGUGCAAGCGUUAAUUGGAAUUACUGGGCGUAAAGCGCGCGUAGGUGGUUUGUUAAAUUGGAUGUGAAAUCCCCGGGCUCAACCUGGGAACUGCAUUCAAAACUGUCGAGCUAGAGUAUGGUAGAGGGGGGUGGAAUUUCCUGUGUAGCGGUGAAAUGCGUAGAUAUAGGAAGGAACACCCGUGGGGAAGGGGACCCCCCGGGCUGAUACUGACACUGAGGUGGGAAAGCGUGGGGAGCAAACAGGAUUAGAUACCCUGGUAGUCCCCCCCGUAAACGAUGUCAACUAGCCGUUGGGAGCCUUGAGCUUUUAGUGGCGCAGCUAACGCAUUAAAUUGACCGCCUGGGGAGUACGGCCGCAAGGUUAAAAAUCAAAUGAAUUGACGGGGGCCCGCCCAAGCGGUGGAGCAUGUGGUUUAAUUUGAAGCAACGCGAAGAACCUUACCAGGCCUUGACAUCCAAUGAACUUCCAGAGAUGGAUUGGGCCUCGGAACCCAACCCCGG